This is a non-coding RNA of Paralichthys olivaceus (Japanese flounder), 397 nucleotides long. The record is from RefSeq and is a predicted model, not a curated record. NCBI's taxonomy places the organism in Eukaryota, Metazoa, Chordata, Actinopteri, Pleuronectiformes, Paralichthyidae.
CCACAGAUUUUUUUUCUACAAGCGCUGAUGGGAUGCCUGCAAAAAGAAAGGAAUCUCCUCACAUCCCCAGUCAGUCGGCAGACUCUGAUGUUCAUCUGCAGCCGUGAGAACUACCCGUGUGUCCACUGAGUCUGGGGCCUGAAGUUCAAGUUGCUGUGCAAAGCUCCCAUGAGUCAGACUUUUGCAUCCUGAAAUAUGAUGCAGACAAAACCUCAGGUGGACAAACAGCUGCUCGUGACACCCGAGCUGGGCUGUGGGUACCGUGAGAUCAAAAACAGCGCAACAACGCAAAACUACCAUAAUGAAAAAGAGACAGUUAGAGAAUGUGAAAGCGUUUGAACCCAGGCCGACUGACGGAGAGAGAAAAAAAAUAAAAUUCUACAAAUCUGUAUCAGUG